This 440-nucleotide ribosomal RNA is filed under the name uncultured bacterium. Its description in RNAcentral is "partial 16S ribosomal RNA". It matches the Rfam family "Bacterial small subunit ribosomal RNA", at positions 338 to 795 of the family's 1533-position model. The record is from RNAcentral.
CCUACGGGCGGCAGCAGUAGGGAAUAUUGCUCAAUGGGGGAAACCCUGAAGCAGCAACGCCGCGUGGAGGAUGAAGGUUUUCGGAUUGUAAACUCCUUUUAGUAGAGAAGAUGAUGACGGUAUCUAACGAAUAAGCACCGGCUAACUCCGUGCCAGCAGCCGCGGUAAUACGGAGGGUGCAAGCGUUACUCGGAAUCACUGGGCGUAAAGAGAGCGUAGGCGGGAUAGCAAGUCAGAUGUGAAAUCCUAUGGCUUAACCAUAGAAUUGCUUUUGAUACUGUUAUUCUAGAGUAUGGGAGAGGUAGGUGGAAUUCUUGGUGUAGCGGUAAAAUGCGUAGAGAUCAAGAGGAAUACUCAUUGCGAAGGCGACCUGCUAGAACAUAACUGACGCUGAUGCGCGAAAGCGUGGGGAGCAAACAGGAUUAGAUACCCCAGUAGUC